UUAUAUCUGCCUGAUUCGCUAAUAUGCACCUCCUUUCUCUUGAUACAUAUUUCUCUCGGUCUCACUGUUUUUUUGCAAACGUAACAUGUACGCCCUAUAGACCGAUGAGUUGCGGUUUGAGUUGUGGAGUCGAGGCAACAGGCGCGCCUGGCGUGCAGCAAUCCAAAGUUCGACUCCACUCGAGUACUUUCGAAAUUGUAACAGUGAUCGAGAGUCGGGUGCUAGACUGUAAGUGAGGAAUAACAUUACCUGACAAUGCUGCCUUCCUUCUGAGUUACUUUUUU
This is a non-coding RNA of Caenorhabditis elegans, 284 nucleotides long. NCBI's taxonomy places the organism in Eukaryota, Metazoa, Nematoda, Chromadorea, Rhabditida, Rhabditidae. The record is from Ensembl.